AUUGAACGCUGGCGGCAUGCCUUACACAUGCAAGUCGAACGGCAGCACGGGAGCAAUCCUGGUGGCGAGUGGCGAACGGGUGAGUAAUAUAUCGGAACGUGCCCAGUCGUGGGGAUAACGUAGCGAAAGCUACGCUAAUACCGCAUACGAUCUAUGGAUGAAAGCGGGGGAUCGCAAGACCUCGCGCGAUUGGAGCGGCCGAUAUCAGAUUAGGUAGUUGGUGNGGUAAAGGCUCACCAAGCCGACGAUCUGUAGCUGGUCUGAGAGGACGACCAGCCACACUGGGACUGAGACACGGCCAGACUCCUACGGGAGCAGCAGUGGGGAAUUUUUGGGACAAUGGGCGCAAGCCUGAUCCAGCAAUG
RNAcentral lists this ribosomal RNA (365 nucleotides) under uncultured bacterium. Its description in RNAcentral is "bacterial SSU rRNA". It matches the Rfam family "Bacterial small subunit ribosomal RNA", at positions 30 to 396 of the family's 1533-position model. The record is from RNAcentral.